Molecule: small RNA, 115 nt
Filed under: Pantoea ananatis
Lineage: Bacteria; Pseudomonadati; Pseudomonadota; Gammaproteobacteria; Enterobacterales; Erwiniaceae
Description: RtT sRNA
Rfam family: RtT RNA
About the family: This family represents a bacterial cis-regulatory element known as RtT RNA. The exact function of RtT is unknown although it is thought that it may be involved in changing the cellular response in relation to amino acid starvation.
Source: RNAcentral
UUUUCGCCUGAAUAAAAGAGGAUGAGAACCUCCGAAGGAGGGUUGCGCCGAGCGCAGCGAGACAACGUUGCGAACGCAACGGCCCGAGGGGCGCGUAAUCCUCUCUCGCCGACCA